Molecule: ribosomal RNA, 601 nt
Filed under: Argulus japonicus
Lineage: Eukaryota; Metazoa; Arthropoda; Ichthyostraca; Arguloida; Argulidae
Description: SSU rRNA
Rfam family: Eukaryotic small subunit ribosomal RNA
Source: RNAcentral
UGUUUCUCUCACCAGCCGCGGUAAUUCCAGCUCCAAUAGCGUAUAUUAAAGUUGCUGCGGUUAAAAAGCUAGUAGUUGGAUCCCAGUUGCAGACGGGCGGUCCGCCUCAUGGCGGUUCACUGCCCCGUUCUCGACAUACCUCCGGUUAUAUUUGUCCCGCGAUGCUCUUUACCGGGUGUCGCGGGGGGCCGGUACGUUUACUUUGAAAAAAUUAGAGUGCUCAAAGCAGGCGAUGGCCAGAAUAAUGGUGCAUGGAAUAAUGGAAUAGGACCUCGGUUCUAUCUUGUUGGUUCUUCGGAACACGAGGUAAUGAUUAAUAGGGACGGACGGGGGCAUUCGUAUUGCGACGUUAGAGGUGAAAUUCUUGGAUCGUCGCAAGACGAACUACUGCGAAAGCAUUUGCCAAGAAUGUUUUCGUUAAUCAAGAACGAAAGUUAGAGGUUCGAAGGCGAUCAGAUACCGCCCUAGUUCUAACCAUAAACGAUGCCAACCAGCGAUCCGUCGGCGUUACUUCGAAUGACCCGACGAGCAGCUUCCGGGAAACCAAAGUUUCUGGGUUCCGGGGGAAGUAUGGUUGCAAAGCCGAAACUUAAAGGAAUUG